Maylandia zebra (zebra mbuna) is the source of this 267-nucleotide long non-coding RNA. RefSeq lists it as uncharacterized. The record is from RefSeq and is a predicted model, not a curated record. Lineage: Eukaryota; Metazoa; Chordata; Actinopteri; Cichliformes; Cichlidae.
CAGGGUGAGAUCUAAAACCUGCAGGACACCGGCCCUCGAGGCCUGGAGUUGGGGACCCCUGGUCUGAUGCAUGAAUGACAUAUCAUCGCUCUUCACAGACAUUCUCCUCUCUGCCACACCCUGCACCCACAAUGAUGGUCUUAACGUCCACAAUUAACUUCAAGUCACCGCCCAGUCUGGCUGAAGGCUCCUGGUAUUCAUGUGGAUGUCUUUUUGACACAUGCCACCCACCUAAACACUGCAAAGUAAGCACCCCACACCAUGGAA